RNAcentral lists this ribosomal RNA (803 nucleotides) under uncultured bacterium. Its description in RNAcentral is "bacterial SSU rRNA". It matches the Rfam family "Bacterial small subunit ribosomal RNA", at positions 8 to 806 of the family's 1533-position model. The record is from RNAcentral.
AGAGUUUGAUCCUGGCUCAGAUUGAACGCUGGCGGCAGGCCUAACACAUGCAAGUCGAGCGGAUGAAGGGAGCUUGCUCCUGGAUUCAGCGGCGGACGGGUGAGUAAUGCCUAGGAAUCUGCCUGGUAGUGGGGGAUAACGUCCGGAAACGGGCGCUAAUACCGCAUACGUCCUGAGGGAGAAAGUGGGGGAUCUUCGGACCUCACGCUAUCAGAUGAGCCUAGGUCGGAUUAGCUAGUUGGUGGGGUAAAGGCCUACCAAGGCGACGAUCCGUAACUGGUCUGAGAGGAUGAUCAGUCACACUGGAACUGAGACACGGUCCAGACUCCUACGGGAGGCAGCAGUGGGGAAUAUUGGACAAUGGGCGAAAGCCUGAUCCAGCCAUGCCGCGUGUGUGAAGAAGGUCUUCGGAUUGUAGAGCACUUUAAGUUGGGAGGAAGGGCAGUAAGUUAAUACCUUGCUGUUUUGACGUUACCAACAGAAUAAGCACCGGCUAACUUCGUGCCAGCAGCCGCGGUAAUACGAAGGGUGCAAGCGUUAAUCGGAAUUACUGGGCGUAAAGCGCGCGUAGGUGGUUCAGCAAGUUGGAUGUGAAAUCCCCGGGCUCAACCUGGGAACUGCAUCCAAAACUACUGAGCUAGAGUACGGUAGAGGGUGGUGGAAUUUCCUGUGUAGCGGUGAAAUGCGUAGAUAUAGGAAGGAACACCAGUGGCGAAGGCGACCACCUGGACUGAUACUGACACUGAGGUGCGAAAGCGUGGGGAGCAAACAGGAUUAGAUACCCUGGUAGUCCACGCCGUAAA